Molecule: ribosomal RNA, 253 nt
Filed under: uncultured bacterium
Lineage: Bacteria
Description: partial 16S ribosomal RNA
Rfam family: Bacterial small subunit ribosomal RNA
Source: RNAcentral
UACGUAGGUGACCAGCGUUGUCCGGAUUUACUGGGCGUAAAGAGCGCGCAGGCGGUCGUUCAAGUCGAGUGUGAAAGCCCCCGGCUCAACUGGGGAGGGUCACUCGAUACUGAUCGACUUGAAGGCAGGAGAGGGAAGCGGAAUUCCCGGUGUAGUGGUGAAAUGCGUAGAUAUCGGGAGGAACACCGGUGGCGAAGGCGGGUCUCUGGGCCGUAACCUGACGCUGAGGAGCGAAAGCGUGGGGAGCAACAGG